GGUGGUAUAGUCUAGGGGUAGGACGUCACAUUGUGGAUUUGCAAUGCUGUGAAAGCCUGGAUUCGAAUUCCAGUACCGCCA
This is a non-coding RNA of Ophiobolus disseminans, 81 nucleotides long. NCBI's taxonomy places the organism in Eukaryota, Fungi, Ascomycota, Dothideomycetes, Pleosporales, Phaeosphaeriaceae. The record is from the annotation of a GenBank genome assembly.